AAAGGACGUGCGAACCCGCGAGGGGAGCGAAUCCCAAAAAGCCGCUCUCAGUUCGGAUUGCAGGCUGCAACUCGCCUGCAUGAAGCCGGAAUCGCUAGUAAUCGCGGAUCAGCAUGCCGCGGUGAAUACGUUCCCGGGCCUU
Molecule: ribosomal RNA, 142 nt
Filed under: uncultured Geobacillus sp.
Lineage: Bacteria; Bacillati; Bacillota; Bacilli; Caryophanales; Anoxybacillaceae
Description: partial 16S ribosomal RNA
Rfam family: Bacterial small subunit ribosomal RNA
Source: RNAcentral